GCUCUAAUCAUCAAAAAAUUUAAAAAGUUCAUGAGAAAAAGAAGGCAAGACUUCAAGAAAAGAUCAAUGCCCAAAAGAGACUCUAGCAAAGAUAAAGACAAGGAGGAGCAGCCCCUUUUUUGUGAAUGCAAGAAGUUAGGGCAUUUCAAAGCCGACUAUCCUAUCGUAAAGAAAAUAUUUAAGAAGACUAAGAAGAAAGCAAUGGUCACCCAU
Molecule: long non-coding RNA, 213 nt
Filed under: Elaeis guineensis (African oil palm)
Lineage: Eukaryota; Viridiplantae; Streptophyta; Magnoliopsida; Arecales; Arecaceae
Description: long non-coding RNA (EGUI_LNC007651)
Source: RNAcentral